Molecule: ribosomal RNA, 660 nt
Filed under: uncultured bacterium
Lineage: Bacteria
Description: bacterial SSU rRNA
Rfam family: Bacterial small subunit ribosomal RNA
Source: RNAcentral
AGUGGCGGACGGGUGAGUAACGCGUGAGAAUCUGCCUUGGGGUCGGGGACAACCACUGGAAACGGUGGCUAAUACCGGAUAAGCCGAUUGGUGAAAGAUUUAUUGCCCGAAGAGGAGCUCGCGUCUGAUUAGCUAGUUGGUGAGGUAAGAGCUCACCAAGGCAGCGAUCGGUAGCUGGUCUGAGAGGACGAUCAGCCACACUGGGACUGAGACACGGCCCAGACUCCUACGGGAGGCAGCAGUGGGGAAUUUUCCGCAAUGGGCGAAAGCCUGACGGAGCAAGACCGCGUGAGGGAGGAAGGCUCUUGGGUUGUAAACCUCUUUUCUCAGGGAAGAAGCUCUGACGGUACCUGAGGAAUCAGCCUCGGCUAACUCCGUGCCAGCAGCCGCGGUAAUACGGAGGAGGCAAGCGUUAUCCGGAAUUAUUGGGCGUAAAGCGUCCGCAGGUGGCGAUUCAAGUCUGCUGUCAAAGCACGGGGCUUAACUCCGUAAAGGCAGUGGAAACUGAAUAGCUAGAGUGCCGUAGGGGUAGAGGGAAUUCCCGGUGUAGCGGUGAAAUGCGUAGAGAUCGGGAAGAACAUCGGUGGCGAAAGCGCUCUACUGGACGGCAACUGACACUCAGGGACGAAAGCUAGGGGAGCGAAUGGGAUUAGAUACCCC